CCCAUGGAGCUUUACUGUAGCCUAAUAUUGGGUUUCGAUGUUGCAUGCACAGGAUAGAUGGGACACUGGGAAGCAGGUGCUUUGGCGCUUGUGGAGUGGCCGUUGGGAUACCAUCCUUGCGAUAUUGGAAUUCUAACCUGCGCCUUUGAAUCAAGGCGGGGGACAUUGUUAGGUGGGCAGUUUGACUGGGGCGGUCGCCUCCUAAAGAGUAACGGAGGCGUUCAAAGGUUCGCUCAGCUUGAACGGAAAUCAAGCAAAAGAGUGCAAACGCAGAAGCGAGCCUAACUGCGAGACUGACGGGUCGAGCAGUAACGAAAGUUGGAGUUAGUGAUCCGGUGGUAUGUGAGUGGAAAUGCCAUCGCUCAACGGAUAAAAGUUACCCUGGGGAUAACAGGCUGAUCUCCCCCAAGAGUCCACAUCGACGGGGAGGUUUGGCACCUCGAUGUCGGCUCAUCGCAUCCUGGGGCUGUAUUCGGUCCCAAGGGUUUGGCUGUUCGCCAAUUAAAGCGGUACGCGAGCUGGGUUCAGAACGUCGUGAGACAGUUCGGUCCCUAUCUGUCGUGGGCGCAGGAUAUUUGAAAGGCGCUGUCCCUAGUACGAGAGGACCGGGAUGGACGAACCUCUGGUGCACCAGUUGUCACGCCAGUGGCACAGCUGGGCAGCUAUGUUCGGAUCGGAUAAACGCUGAAAGCAUCUAAGCGUGAAGCCGGCCUUAAGAUAAGAUAUCCCACUGAGACAAUCAGGUAAGACCCCUUGAAGACUACAAGGUUGAUAGGCACAAUGUGUAAGUGGCGUGAGUCAUUGAGCAAGCGUGUACUAAUAGGUCGAGGGCUUGACCC
RNAcentral lists this ribosomal RNA (839 nucleotides) under human gut metagenome. RNAcentral describes it as "bacterial LSU rRNA". It matches the Rfam family "Bacterial large subunit ribosomal RNA", at positions 2090 to 2925 of the family's 2925-position model. The record is from RNAcentral.